AGAUCACACGUUUACCAUGCCACAAAGUUCCUUAGAGCAUUAUCCGGUAUGCAACACUGUCAGUUUUUUUCUACUUGAUCAUGGUGGCCACUGGCCAGUCACUCAUAUAUACAUGCAUUCUAAUUGGCUCUCAGGAACUUCAUGUUGAGAUGAAAUUAUAACUGAACUCAAAAGCCUUAGAAAGAUGACAAUGAGGAAACUUAAGUGUAUUGUACUCAAUCAGUGUAGAAUUGCAUGAAAUAGCUGGGGACGUUUAGAAGUAGGUUGGAAAUAGAUUUCUAACAGGCAUGCAUGUUACAAUAGUUAAGUCUUUGAUAAACUUUUGUAUAAACACUAAGAAGAAAAUAAAGAAAUAAAAUGGAUUAAUUUCUCUAAUAAGAUAAAAAGUUAUACAUAAUAUUGUGUCCAGUCAAGCACAUGUGAUAUGAGAUCAUGAUGGAUGUUGUUCUUGUAGUGCUAAAUCAAGUGGUGUAGUUCUAGCUAAACUUGAAUGCAACAGGGAUGAAGUCGUUGAGUCUUAUAAUAAUUAACUAAGCCAGUUUUUUAGUGAAAUCCAAACAAACUCAAUGAUCUCUCACCAUGUAGUGUGUUAUACCAUGCAUGCAUGCAGGCACAGGAGGUGGUUGACAAGGUUGUGAAAGAGGCAGUAAGCAAGCCAUGGUUACCCUUGCCUUUGGGCCUG
RNAcentral lists this long non-coding RNA (682 nucleotides) under Phaseolus vulgaris (common bean). RNAcentral describes it as "long non-coding RNA (PVUL_LNC004194)". The record is from RNAcentral. Lineage: Eukaryota; Viridiplantae; Streptophyta; Magnoliopsida; Fabales; Fabaceae.